Molecule: long non-coding RNA, 1889 nt
Filed under: Homo sapiens (human)
Lineage: Eukaryota; Metazoa; Chordata; Mammalia; Primates; Hominidae
Description: PREDICTED lncRNA (TCONS_00226673)
Source: RNAcentral
GGGUGGCGCGGACCUCGGGUCCCCAGCCAUCGGCGCUCUCCCGGGGCCCUCUGACCUCGCUCCUUAAAGGAGGAGGGUCCGUGGCAACGGUCCUCCUCGGCCAGGCGCUCUCGGGACGCGGGGGUGAGGAGUGAGCGCCGUGGCCCACCCUACUCUCCGAGCGGGGACGGAGUGGGCGACACCGCGCGCCCGGCUGCACGCAGGCUCUGCGCGGCUCGAGGCGGCCCUACAGGGGGCGAGGAGGAACCCCGGAGACUCGGCGGAGAGAGCAGAGACGGAGCUCACCAAGGGGCUUGCCGCCGCAGAGCGCGGGAGCCGGCACUCGGGGUACUUAACCGAAACUAGCAAUCCCAGGCGGUACAAGGCCCUCCAUCGUAGGCAAAGCACUACCUGAAUGUAGAUUUGGGCCAUACGUUGGAAAAUAAGACAUGAGAGUAUGCUCCGAUCAACUUUUACUGUUCACUGGACAACUAUUUUGGGAAUUUGCAGACCUAUAAAGCCCAUCUAUAAAUCUCAAGCAUGUCCACUUUCAGAGAAGAGAAAUGCUGACAACCAUUUAGUCUCUGAGGACAACACUUUUAAAGUGUAACAAUGUGGCAUCCAGAGCUUAUCCAGAUGAGCGGAGAGCAAAUGAAUUUCCUUCUGCUCCCCUGUUGAAGAGGAGAGAAAAAUUCUUCAAGCUGACUCCAUCAUAGGACUGGAGAGAGAUUGGAUGUCAGAGUGAUUGAUGUGCUCCUACUGGAAGAAGGCAAACAUCCAUAUGUGAACUGCCUGUGGGGUUUCCAAGGAAAGGAACGGCAGGCAGCCUCUAUGAGCUUAAAGAAGAUAACUGGGACUUUAGUCCUAUAACCUCAAGGAACAGUAUUCUGUGAACCAUCUGAGAAGCUUGGAAGAGGACCCCAAACUCCAAAUAAGAAGCUCAGUGUGUCUGACACCUUGACUGCAGGCUUGGGAGGUCCUGAGCAGAAGAUCCAGUUCAACAGUGCCUGGACUCCUGAUCCACAAAAACUGAUAACAAAUAUUUAUUGUUUUAAGAUGCUAAGUUUGUAGUCAUUUUUUAUACAGCAACAGAAAACUAAACACACACAUAAACAGUUAUAAGUGCUCACUGUAUAUGAGGCUUUUCAUUAAUAAUCUAUAUUUUAUAAUAGAAUUAGAAUAUAGAUCUGUGAAGCUGAAGACACUCAAUCCUUGCUAGAUUUAAAUCAGGAAAAUCAGCUGAGAAUCAUUCCUUGAUAGAACCUGGAAAACAAGACCCUAUGAGAGACCCUGGGAAUUACAUUAAAUUCACUGUGGUUCCCAGUGUCACUGAAGAGGUUUUCCUUUCAUAGUCAGGUAGUCACCAUACUGUUAAGCAUUUGAACACAUGGGCAACUUCCAGAAUAGUUAUGACAUUGAUAUACCAAUCUCCAAAAUUCCUAGAAUACCAUGUUUUCAUGGUUGACCUUCAAAUCAGUCAGUUCUUUGUAACAUUGAGCCAUAAAGAUAGGGCAAAUACUUAAUGUUUUACAUAUAUUCAGAGAUUGACCCUCAAAAUACAGCCCAGAGAAACUCAAAAGAAUUAACUCUAUUUCUUCAAAUUGUGUGACGCCACCAAGGCCAGAUGACUUCAGCAUUGGGAAGGCAAUAUCCAGCUGUCAUCUUCUUGAUCCUCAUAUGCUACUACUAGCAUCUAGCAUUUACUGAGCAGAUAGUUUUAUUGUCCAGUUUUUAAAGAUAAGAAAAUUGAGGUAUUAGGAAAGUUAAGUUGGUUGCCUAGGGAAACACGAAGAUAUAGCCCAGAUUCACUCCCAGGCAGGCAGAUGCCAGUGUCUGCUCUCUUUACCACCGAAAUAUCCUGCUACAUGUACAAUUUCAAUAAAUAUCUGGACUUACUGGAACAAAACAAA